UAGUUAUUGGUCCGUGUGAAAGGAACAGUAACAGACACGAUAUCCAGAUUAAUUUAUAGUCUUCACUAUAUGAACUGUGACAUGUGAGGUUGUUCUUUGUAAGAUUUGUAUCAUGGAUGUGGUGAGUUAUACUGCCAAUUGACAAUACUGUAAAAUGGUAAAAUGAC
Limulus polyphemus (Atlantic horseshoe crab) is the source of this 167-nucleotide long non-coding RNA. RefSeq lists it as uncharacterized. The transcript is spliced from 4 exons. Lineage: Eukaryota; Metazoa; Arthropoda; Merostomata; Xiphosura; Limulidae. The record is from RefSeq and is a predicted model, not a curated record.